RNAcentral lists this ribosomal RNA (2985 nucleotides) under Triticum aestivum (bread wheat). RNAcentral's name for it is "partial small subunit ribosomal RNA". The record is from RNAcentral. Lineage: Eukaryota; Viridiplantae; Streptophyta; Magnoliopsida; Poales; Poaceae.
AUGAUGAAGUUCACAAAGGCCGACAAGGCGUCCGGUUUGGAUCCUUCUAGUCUGGCGGAGGCCCCGGAGCUGGUCCGUUCGGUUGCCCGGGCCAUGGAGGGACUUGCCGAGGAGAUCCAGUCGCUUGACCAGGGCCAUUGGAAAUGGGUGCCAAGGUGGAUCAAGGUCGUCGCCACCGAGCUGGAGUUGCUCAAGACCAAUAUGCUCCAGAUCUGGUUCAUCUCUGCCGUAGCCGAUCCACGACAUGGGGCACCGGCACAGCAGGCAAGAGACGCCACCUACUCCAUCGAAGUGAUUCAAGACAAGAUUGAGUGUUGCAGGCUUCAAUCUAGCCUUGUUCCACGUAACAAGAUUCUCAAUCAUCUGUUCAAGCUGCUUCUUGCUCUGAGAUGUCGAUGGAACCGCUCCAAUCCAAACAGGAUCAUCAGGGAGAUCAAAGCUAUGAAUGAGAAAGCUCAUAGGCUUGUCCCUCUCCUAGACAAGGGCCAAGGCCAAUUUUCCAAUCCACCGCCAUCGUCGCUUGGUUCCGUCAGCAACACUCGUCGGACAGUGGUGUAUGGGCGCGACAGGGAGAGGGAUGAGGUCGUGCGGAUGCUCAUCCGAUCAUGCGGUGAGGCUGCACCGGAGAUGAUGGUCUCUCUUGUUGGUGAUGGAGGAAUUGGGAAGACAACACUCGCUCAGAUGGUAUUCAACGAUGAAAGCGUCAGGCAGCAUUUUGAUGUCAGGUGUUGGGUGUCAGUUUCCAGUGUCUCCAACCAAAUGGAGCUCGCAACAGAGAUUUUAAGAUCGGCCCAACCAUCUUGGGUUGGAUCUGAUGAGAAUAAGAUGGUGGGUUUUCAAGUGCUUCGGUCCGAGCUUCGUCAAUUUGUGGCAUCCAAGAGAUGCCUGAUUGUUCUAGAUGAUGUAUGCAACAGUAAGGAUGAAACCUUACUGGACAUCGUCACUCCUCUUCUUUCAGCAGAUAGCAGAAGCAGAAUUUUGGUGACUUCUCGCAUGAUACCUCACAUAUUGGGUUCCUCACAGCUAUACACUGUAAAUCCACUGGAUACCGAUGAUUGUUGGUCCCUGCUCAAGGAACAUGCUUUUCCCAUUGAUGACGAGAAUGUCCAUCCAGAUCUGAAGUUGAUUGGAAAGGAAAUUGCUACAAAAACCAAUGGAUCACCUUUGGCUGCCAAGCUGGUGGGAGGGUUGCUAGGAGAAACAAGGAGCAAAGCGCACUGGAGAAAUAUCCUUGAAACAGGGUUACAAGAUGGCACUGUUUUCUCUGCCCUACUCUUGAGCUAUAAGAACUUGCCUGGACACCUCAAGCGAUGCUUCGCAUAUUGCAGUUUGUUUCUAGAGGACUAUAAGUUUGAUCCAGCACAUUUGUCCCGCCUUUGGAUUGCGGAGGGUUUUGUACAUCCACAUGGCAGGGCUGAGAAAAGGAUGGAAGACAUAGCUAGAGAAUAUUUUGAUCAGCUCCUUUCAUGCUCAUUUUUUCAGGAGAUCAACAUUGACACAAGACUUAUUACUUGGUGCAUGGCCUACUCCAUGAACUUGCAAAAGUUUCCCAAUUGCAUUAAUGACUUAUUGCACCUCCGUUACCUCUCUAUCCAUGGCUCCAUCCAGAGGCUUCCUGAGUCCAUUGGCAGGCUUUGCCACCUGCAAACAUUGCGCUUCACCGGGGAAUGUUCCCUUGAGAAGCUUCCUGCUAGCAUUAUUAUGCUAGUCAAUUUGCGGCACCUUAUUGUUGAGACAAAGUAUACUGCAGGAUUGGUGGGCAUUGGUCGGCUAGCAAAUCUUCAGGGAUCACUUGAGCUCCACAUUGAGAGGAGGGAAGGACAUAAACUAGAAGAGUUGAGGAACAUCAAUGGUCUUCGUGGGCUACUAAAAAUAAAAGGUCUAGAAAAUGUUUCAAGCUAUGAAGAAGCAUGCAAAGCUGAGUUGAAUAAGAAAACACAUCUUAAUUCUCUAAAUUUAGAAUGGAGCUUUGCUAGUAGGAAUAACCCACCUUCUGCUGAUGCGGAGGUACUUGAAGGCUUAAAGCCGCACCAAGACAUAAAGGUACUUCAUAUACGAAGGAGUUUGGGAAUCCUUCCUCCAUUGGGAAAUUUGGGAUCACUCAGAUAUUUACACAUGAAGGAGCUGUGUGCAGUUGACCGAAUUGGACAUGAGUUUUAUGGCAACGUUGAUGUGGCAUUUCCAUCUCUAAGUGUCCUUGAAUUGGAUGACUUCCCAAAGUUGCGUCAGUGGGCUGGCACAGAGGACAAGGUCUCAUUUCCAUGCCUUGAAAGAUUGAUUAUAGUGGAUUGUCCAGAACUGGUCGGAAUUCCUCCCUUCUCCGCAACUACUCGUGAAGUUACCAUUGAGCGUACAUGCUUCAUGCCAUACAUGAGGCUUGCGCCUUUUUCUUCAGGUUCAGAGAAGCUCCAGCUGGAUGUUUGCACAACUUCUGGCCACUUCAACGGGUUACUCCAUAAGCAACAUCUAAAGGUUGUUGUAGCCUUAAACAUAACUGGUGCUGAACAAGUCGUUGCUACCGAAGAAAUAGGGUCCCUUGUUUCUCUACAGAGGCUUCAGCUUCGUCGAUGCAAUUUCACUGACUAUAACUUUAGCAGGUUUCUCCAGGCUCUGCCUUGUCUUUCCUCGUUGGAGAUAAUUGACCUGCCUAACUUAACAUCUCUUCCAGCAUUGGAAAUAGUUGGGGUUAGCACAAUGCUCACGGAUUUGUCUGUACGCAACUGCCAGUUCUUGCAGUCUCUAUCCUCAUUGCAGUUUUUUGAUUCACUAAAAUAUUUGGUCAUCGAGAGAUGUCCUAAAGUGACUGCAACAUCAUUUCCAUUGAACUUUAGGAGCCUUUCAUCGCUCAAAGUGCUGAGAAUAUCACACUGCUCAGAGCUCCAAUCUUUACCGACGUGUGGUCUGCCAUCCUCAUUGGAAACACUCCAUAUUACUAGGUGCCACCCGGAGUUGUCCAAGCAAUCAAGAAACAUGAAAGGGCAUUAA